GCAAGAUUAAAACUCAAAGGAAUAGACGGGGACCCGCACAAGUGGUGGAGCAUGUGGUUUAAUUCGAAGAUACGCGAAGAACCUUACCUAGCCUUGACAUAUAUUAGAACACCCUAGAGAUAGAGUGGUGCCUUCGGGAGCUUUUAUACAGGUGCUGCACGGCUGUCGUCAGCUCGUGUCGUGAGAUGUUGGGUUAAGUCCCGCAACGAGCGCAACCCUCGUCACUAGUUACUAACGGUUCGGCCGAGGACUCUAGUGAGACUGCCUUCGUAAGGAGGAGGAAGGUGAGGACGACGUCAAGUCAUCAUGGCCCUUACGGCUAGGGCAACACACGUGCUACAAUGGUUGGGACAAUGAGACGCAAUACCGCGAGGUGGAGCAAAUCUAUAAACCCAAUCUCAGUUCGGAUUGUUCUCUGCAACUCGAGAACAUGAAGCUGGAAUCACUAGUAAUCGUAGAUCAGCUAUGCUACGGUGAAUACGUUCCCGGGUCUUGUACUCACCGCCCGUCACACCAUGGGAGUUGAUUUCACCCGAAGCGGGGAAGCUAAACUGGCUACCCUCCACGGUGGAAUUAGCGACUGGGGUGAAGUCGUAACAAGGUA
Molecule: ribosomal RNA, 604 nt
Filed under: uncultured bacterium
Lineage: Bacteria
Description: bacterial SSU rRNA
Rfam family: Bacterial small subunit ribosomal RNA
Source: RNAcentral